GGCGGCAUGCUUAACACAUGCAAGUCGAACGGCAGCAUGACCUAGCUUGCUAGGUUGAUGGCGAGUGGCGAACGGGUGAGUAACGCGUAGGAAUAUGCCUUGAAGACUGGGAUAACUUGGGGAAACUCAAGCUAAUACCGGAUGAUGUCUUAGGACGAAAGCUGGGGACCUUCGGGCCUGGCGCUUUAAGAUUAGCCUGCGUCCGAUUAGCUAGUUGGUGGGGUAAGGGCCUACCAAGGCGACGAUCGGUAGCUGGUCUGAGAGGAUGGCCAGCCACACUGGAACUGAGACACGGUCCAGACUCCUACGGGAGGCAGCAGUGGGGAAUAUUGGACAAUGGGGGCAACCCUGAUCCAGCAAUGCCGCGUGUGUGAAGAAGGCCUGAGGGUUGUAAAGCACUUUCAGUGGGGAGGAGGGUUAAUAGGUUAAGAGCUAAUUGAUUGGACGUUACCCACAGAAGAAGCACCGGCUAACUCCGUGCCAGCAGCCGCGGUAAUACGGAGGGUGCAAGCGUUAAUCGGAAUUACUGGGCGUAAAGCGUGCGU
RNAcentral lists this ribosomal RNA (545 nucleotides) under Legionella sainthelensi. RNAcentral describes it as "bacterial SSU rRNA". It matches the Rfam family "Bacterial small subunit ribosomal RNA", at positions 38 to 572 of the family's 1533-position model. Lineage: Bacteria; Pseudomonadati; Pseudomonadota; Gammaproteobacteria; Legionellales; Legionellaceae. The record is from RNAcentral.